UACAGAGGUCUCAAGCGUUGUUCGGAUUCAUUGGGCGUAAAGGGUGCGUAGGUGGCGCUGUAAGUCGGGUGUGAAAUUUCGGAGCUUAACUCCGAAACUGCAUUCGAUACUGCGGUGCUUGAGGACUGGAGAGGAGACUGGAAUUCAUGGUGUAGCAGUGAAAUGCGUAGAGAUCAUGAGGAAGACCAGUGGCGAAGGCGGGUCUCUGGACAGUUCCUGACACUGAGGCGCGAAAGCGUGGGGAGCAAACAGG
RNAcentral lists this ribosomal RNA (253 nucleotides) under uncultured bacterium. RNAcentral describes it as "partial 16S ribosomal RNA". It matches the Rfam family "Bacterial small subunit ribosomal RNA", at positions 524 to 776 of the family's 1533-position model. The record is from RNAcentral.